UGAGAGAGGGUGGGCAGAAGGCUUAGUGAGAAGCAGUGGAGUUUUGCUGCCUCAUGGCUAGCCUGGAGAAUUCUCUCAUGGGAGGACAUCUGCAGAUCCUUGAGAGACCGGCUUGCAGGAAGCUUGAAUUCUCUCCUGGUGUUUGGGAUGCAGGUGAGGAAGUGACUAUCCUGAAUCAGCGCCUGGAUGAAGCAAUGGACUAGAUGAGGGUGAACAAGCUGAGACUCAGUCCGGACAAAACAGAAGUACUGCAGUUAAAGAUAAAUGGAAUUCUCAUGUGCCGUCACUGAAAACCUGUGGGAAAUGGACUAUGAAAGAAUCAUUGGAACUUUUUAAAAGGCUGAUGCUUUUCACUGUACUUCUUGAGCACUGGCCUGCUUGCCCUUUAGAUGAGAAGCUGCAAGACAAUGCAAAGUUCCUACAGGAGCAACCUGACUUUCUGGUCAGUCCCAGAGUUUGUCUGAAGACGCAGGUGAGGCAGUGACUGCCCUGAAUCAGUGCCUGGAUGCAGUAAUGGACUGGAUGUGGGUGAACAAGCUGAGUCUCAGUCUAGACAAGAGGGAAGUACUGAUGGUUGCUGAUUCCUCUGCCCGGGUGAAUGAUGAUCAGCCUGUUCUAGAUGGGGUUGCACUCCCCAAUUGCAGUUUGGGAGUGUUCAUUGAUCCAGCACUGUCACUAGAGUCUCAAGUGGCCUCUGUGGCUCAGAGCACCUUUUAGCUCUUGGCCACAGUUACUCAUGCUCUGGUAACCUCUUGCUUAGAUUACUGCAAUGCAUUGUACGUGGGGCUGCCUUUGAAAAUGGUCCAGAAACUGCAGCUGGUACAUACUAGGGCUGCAAAAUUAUUAACUGGGCCUGGAUGUUUUGAUCAUAUUGCACCCGUGCUUCGUCAGCUACACUAGCUCCAUUUGUGGGCCCAAUUCUAAGUGCUGCUCUUAAUCCUUUAAAGCCCUAAAUGGCUUGGGACCAGUUUACCUGGGAUAGUGCCUUGCCCCAUAUGUCCCAACCCAAUCCUUAAGUUCUUCUUUGGAGGUUCUCUGAGUGCCCCUGCCAAUUGAGGUGAGGCUGGCUUCAUCACUUUGUUUUUUUAGAUGCCUGGUAAAGACCUUCUGUUCACUCAAGCCUUUUACAUUUUGAUUUUCAAAUUUGAUUUUAAGUGAAUUUAAAACAGUUUUUAAAUUACUUUGUAUUGUAUUUUGUAUUGUCUCUCCCCACCCCUGCCCUUUUGGACUGUUUAUGAUUUAAUUUGUUUGUUUUUAUUUCAUGUUUUAUUGUUGUAUUGCGAGCCGCCCAGAGAACAAUUUGUUUUGGGGCAGCUAAUAAAUUUCACAACACACAGUUGUGUUUGCUAAUGCAGCAUGUUAGACCAGCACAAGUUGCUGUCCUAUCCCAAUUAUAAUUGUGUAUACUUAAAAAAUGUGAUUUUAAUAUAAGCAUAUUGACAGAUACUUUUUAAAUGAGCAAUGGCAUAUUUUCUUGUUUAUAUGAAGUAGACAACUUAAUCCUUCCUUCUGUUUCUCCUCCCCGCAAAUAAUAAUUCUUUGUACUUUCUCAGCCUUUUAUAAACUGAGUCCCUGAGACACCAUUAAUAUUGGGUAGUUGACAUUAAAAAGCAACAGGCUAAAUAGUUUGGUCUCAAUGGCUCAACCCAACAUGUAUUUGUAAUAUCAAAGAAAUCUAAGUAUUGAUUUGAUUUAGUGUUUAUGACGAGCCACUUCAUUUCCCCAUAAAAUUCAGGGGAGUACAGGUACCAACAUACAUUACAUUUUCAUUAUUAAUUUGGUUUCUUUUUCUUUUUACUCACAGUGUUGAUAUGAGAUCCGCCUGGAGAACCUGUGUUGGUUCUGAGAUCCGGUGUAUUUGUUAUGAUCACCAUAUGGAGGUCAUAAUAAAUAUUUUGAAUCAGAGUUGGUGUGAUGUCUGCUCCAAGUUCUUUCCUGCAGUACUGGCAAAGCACCACACUCUGUGAGUCCCCUGAGCCUGGAAGUUGCAGGAGAUCCUGGAAGUCUGUGCCCUUCCUCUGAUCAUCUUGGGUGCUCCAUCCAAAGUGCAAAUGGAAGUACUGUUGGGGAGGUGGACUCUUUGCUGGUCUUGGUUUCUUAGCAAAUACUUGAUCCUGCCAUCCUCUGGAGUUACUUCUGCUCACCUUAUACAAGCCUGGACACUUUCAACAUGGUGGUUGGUUGAUUGAUUGAUUUAUUAAGUGCCGUCAAGUCGGUGUCGACUCUUAGCGACCACAUAGAUAGAUUCUCUCCAGGAUGCUCUGACUUCAACUUGGCCUUUAAUGUCUCUCAGUGGUGCAUUCAUUGCUGUCAUAAUCAAGUCCAUCCACCUUGCUGCUAGUCGUCCUCUUCUUCUCUUUCCUUCAACCUUUUCCAGCAUUACUGACUUACGGGAGCUGGAUCUUUGCAUAGUGUGUCUGAAGUAUGAUAGUUUGAGCCUGGUCAUUUGUGCCUUGAGUGAAAAUUCUGGAUUGAUUUGUUUGAUGAUCCAUUAGUUUUCCUGGCUGUCCGUGGUAUCCUCAAAAGUCUUCUCCAGCACCAAAGUUCAAAAGCAUCAAUACUUUUUCUAUCUUGCUUCUUCAGAGCCCAGCUUUCACAUCCAUAGAGUGUCAUAAGAAAAACCAUUGCAUGAAUGAUUCUAAUCUUUGUAGGUAUAGAUACAUCAUGGCACCUAAAUAUCCUUUCCAAGGCCUUCAUUGCAACACUACCAAGUGCUAGUCUGCGACGUAUUUCUUGACUGCUGGAUCCUUUACUGUUGAUGGUUGAUCCCAAAAGGCAGAAGCUAUCCACCACUAAAUGUCUUCAUUAUCAGUUCUGAGGCUAGUUGCGUUGUCAAUAGUUUAGUCUUCUUUACCUUUAGUCAUAGUCCCAUUUUUUCACUCUGCUCCUUAACUUUCAUUACUAGAGCUUGCAGUGGUGUCAUCUGUAGCGCAGGUUAUUGCUGUUUCUUCCUCCAACAUUAAAACUAUGCUCAUCUUCUUCUAAUCCAACUUCUCUCAGUAUAUGUUCAGCAUAUGAGUUGAAUAAGUAAGGAGAAUGUAUACAGCCUUGUCUUACUCCUUUGCCGAUCUAGGAUCAGUCUGUUUCACCAUGUUCCAUCCUGACUGUGGCUUCCUGUCCUGUGUAUACGUUUCUCAUUAGAACAGUGAGAUGUUCUGGGACACCCAUUUUGCUAAGGACAUUCCACAACUUGACAUGGUUGAUGCAAUCAAAUGCUUUUCUGUAGUAAAUAAAGCAGAUAUUGACUUCUUCCUCAAUUAUCCACUAUGCAUCAGCAAUGAUGUCUCU
Hemicordylus capensis (graceful crag lizard) is the source of this 3288-nucleotide long non-coding RNA. RefSeq lists it as uncharacterized. The transcript has 5 exons. The record is from RefSeq and is a predicted model, not a curated record. NCBI's taxonomy places the organism in Eukaryota, Metazoa, Chordata, Lepidosauria, Squamata, Cordylidae.